GCCCGGAUGGUGGAAUCGGUAGACACAAGGGGAUUUAAAAUCCCUCGGCCAUAGGCUGUACGAGUUCAAGUCUCGUUCCGGGUACCA
This 87-nucleotide transfer RNA is filed under the name Klebsiella planticola. RNAcentral's name for it is "Raoultella planticola tRNA-Leu". It matches the Rfam family "tRNA". From Rfam's summary of the family: Transfer RNA (tRNA) molecules are approximately 80 nucleotides in length. Their secondary structure includes four short double-helical elements and three loops (D, anti-codon, and T loops). Further hydrogen bonds mediate the characteristic L-shaped molecular structure. tRNAs have two regions of fundamental functional importance: the anti-codon, which is responsible for specific mRNA codon recognition, and the 3' end, to which the tRNAs corresponding amino acid is attached (by aminoacyl-tRNA synthetases). tRNAs cope with the degeneracy of the genetic code in two manners: having more than one tRNA (with a specific anti-codon) for a particular amino acid; and 'wobble' base-pairing, i.e. permitting non-standard base-pairing at the 3rd anti-codon position. The record is from RNAcentral. Lineage: Bacteria; Pseudomonadati; Pseudomonadota; Gammaproteobacteria; Enterobacterales; Enterobacteriaceae.